RNAcentral lists this long non-coding RNA (265 nucleotides) under Homo sapiens (human). RNAcentral's name for it is "non-protein coding lnc-TMEM99-1:2". The record is from RNAcentral. Lineage: Eukaryota; Metazoa; Chordata; Mammalia; Primates; Hominidae.
CCGCGCAGAUGCCAGGGGCGGAACCUCCUCUCCAGCCUGGGUCCCUGCUGUCCUCAGCUUGAGAAGAGAAGGGUAUGGUGCCUUCAAGGAACUGGAAGAAAACCAUUAUUGCUGGUGGAUUGUAUUGCUGCUUUUAAUGGAGCGAAUCCCCCCUCCCCACCAGAAACAGCAAAGAAACAGCAACUGGAAGAUAACAGAAUCAUGAAAGCAUGAUUGAAGAACAAAAAAAUGGGACAGCUGACACUUCCACUUCUGUUAAGAGUUC